RNAcentral lists this unclassified non-coding RNA (179 nucleotides) under uncultured Clavicipitaceae. RNAcentral's name for it is "sequence contains ITS2". Lineage: Eukaryota; Fungi; Ascomycota; Sordariomycetes; Hypocreales; Clavicipitaceae. The record is from RNAcentral.
CAACCCUCAAGCCCCAGCGGCUUGGUGUUGGGGACCGGCGACCUCGCUGCACCCUGGUGCAGGCGUCCGCCGCCCCCGAAAUGAAUUGGCGGCCUCGUCGCGGCCUCCUCUGCGUAGUAGCACAACCUCGCAACAGGAGCGCGACGCGGCCACUGCCGUAAAACGCCCAACUUUUUUAG